Long non-coding RNA from Oncorhynchus nerka (sockeye salmon), 1476 nucleotides. RefSeq lists it as uncharacterized. The transcript is spliced from 3 exons. NCBI's taxonomy places the organism in Eukaryota, Metazoa, Chordata, Actinopteri, Salmoniformes, Salmonidae. The record is from RefSeq and is a predicted model, not a curated record.
CAGGGCCUCGCUGCACACGCUGAGGACAGGACAGGACACACAGGACCAACAUUACCACAUAUCUCACUGCCAGAGGGGGAACACCCCCACAAACCAUUGAUGAAGAACCUAUUACAGAUGGGCCAAUCAGGAAGACUAAGGAUGACAUGAUGACACUCACAGCAGCAGUCGUGUCUGGAUGUCAGGCCAGGAGUCCUGGAGCUGCCGGUCACAGUACAUACGGAACAGAAUACGCAGGCUACAGGCCAGGCUACUGGUCUCCUGCUUUAGCAGAUUGGGCUUCGACUUCCCCUUAAAUCCUGAGAUACAGACAGCCAGACAGACAUAUGAACGUAGAUGGACAUACCACAGAGAUGUCAAGAGAAUCCUGUAUCUCACAUGACAGAUCUGAACACAGACAGUUGAACGCACCUGCUCUCCAGAGUGCAGUCCUCUGCUCGUUGUUAGAGUUGAAAUCUCUGGCGAAGGUGUGUGACUCCAGCAGGCAGUCCAGCAGCUUGAAAAGGUGCUGGGAGGAGAGGUGUCUGUACAUGCCUUGCUCCCCCUGCCCAGGGUCCCCUUCCUCUGCAGCCUCCUCCAGAGUAUCCCUCUGGGAGAGACAUAGCACAGAGUCUAGGUCAAUCCUCCAACAACAUACAGUACACCCAAAACACCCUACUAAGUUGAUGCAUAAAUGCCCUGAUUAAAUGUGAAUAAGGUUCAAGACUUCAGUUUCGAGCCAUUGUAGUUUAGCUCCAUUAUGACAAACCUGUGCAGCAGCCAUAUUUUCGGCAUCUUCCUUCUUGCUGGUUGCCGGGUAGAAGACAAUGUUGUCAAUGGUCUGGAUCAGCUCCAGCUGCACCACACACUUAAUGAGCAGUCCAGCAAACAGCUUCUGGUCUGACACUCCUGCCACAGACACAGAGCACACCGGCAUCAGGAAGAUAGAUAGGAACCCACGAGAGACUGAGGUCAAAUGUGGAAAAGUGGAACACGACAAGGAGGAUGAGGGCUCGGUCAUAGCUGCUCUGGGAUUGGGUGUCAAAAUCUACAUCCUGUAGUAUGUUUGUGAGAGAAAACAACUCAUGACACGAACAAACGGCAAGAUAUUUAUUUUCAAAAGUCAAAUCACUGCCAUAUACUCAUGUAUGUCUAUAGUCAGGCUCAAAAGCUUUAAUUUGACUGUCUGAAGCUUCAUAAAUAUUGUUUGCCCACCAUAUGUUUCCCAUCACCAGCCUCCUCUUCCUGACCAGCUGGUCGCCAUGUCAACAGGCUGUAGAGAGGAGAAAAAAAGAAUGUGCACAUCAUCAGUCAUGUGGUCUAUUGGAGGAAGGGUUUCCUGUGUCGAUGACUUACCAUGGCCUGCUGAAAGAUCUGCUCAUGACUACAUCUGACAUCAGACUUGUUCUUGCAAUGCAACGCAAAUACAAGAUCAGCAUUUCUUACUAUAACAGUGCGUUUUCUGUUUAUGUGUGCAAAUAAAUAUUUAAAAACACA